UCAGCCUAAACAAAAGGACUAGUGUUCUAGU
This 31-nucleotide non-coding RNA is filed under the name Rattus norvegicus (Norway rat). Lineage: Eukaryota; Metazoa; Chordata; Mammalia; Rodentia; Muridae. The record is from RNAcentral.